AAUGAACGUUGGCGGCGUGGAUUAGGCAUGCAAGUCGUGCGCGAAACGUAGCAAUACGUGGAGAGCGGCGAAAGGGAGAGUACAACACGGUUAGCUACCCUCGGGACUGGGAUAGCGGCGGGAAACUGCCGGUAAUACCAGAUGACGUCUUCGGACCAAACGUGUAAACCGGCCCGAGGAGGCGACCGUGUCCUAUCAGCUUGUUGGCGGGGUAAC
This 216-nucleotide ribosomal RNA is filed under the name uncultured bacterium. RNAcentral's name for it is "partial 16S ribosomal RNA". It matches the Rfam family "Bacterial small subunit ribosomal RNA", at positions 29 to 261 of the family's 1533-position model. The record is from RNAcentral.